GUGAGUGUCCUGCCUGUCUCUUUCCUGAGCCUCUGUGUGCAGUAGACUAAGGUCAGCAACGUUUACAAAAGCACCUGCCUGGGCAAGGCAACGUCCAGACAGAGCCCCUGCUGUCUGCCAGUCUGGCUGGAAUUAGCACACCGAUGUCUGUGCAACUCAGUGUCACCGCCACAGGAGGCUGAUGGGGAUGCAGUUUAGCUCCGGCUGCAGACAGCAGGCUGUUCCUGCCCCCAUCACCUCUCCACCACACCACAGCCUUUCCCUCUGGAUAAUCGGCUCCACCCUCACCUCAUCCAGGAAGCCUCAGAGGAGCUCCACCUUGCUUCGAUCUAUCAAACCCUUCAGUCAGUUCCUGUCUCCCAGCUUUUAUCUUUGCCACCCCUCUUCCUAAAUAUGUGACACUUAAUUAUGACUGUCUCAAACUGUGUGAGUGACUCAUGAAAAUGUUUAUGUAUUUCUAGCUUCUAUGUACUUACUGUAUUUACUUCCCCCGCCCGUAACAUAGUAGAUUCAGCACUGGGCUUGGACUUGAAUGCCCCGGGAAUAAAAAUCGGGAUAAUAAUAAUUAUAUUGCAGGGCUUUUUAAAAAUGAGCUGAUAUGUAAGUGGCACAGAGUGGG
This 619-nucleotide long non-coding RNA is filed under the name Equus caballus (horse). RNAcentral describes it as "lncRNA (ENSECAG00000060273.1)". The record is from RNAcentral. Lineage: Eukaryota; Metazoa; Chordata; Mammalia; Perissodactyla; Equidae.